CCUUUGUCUGCAAUAUUCUCUCUGCUUUUGUUUGUUUUUUGGUUUUGAUUCAAAGCAAUUUUGUUGGAUACAUGCAAUAUUUGUAAAAUACGUAGCAUGUUUAAAGAAAAAAAAACAUACCUUAUGUUCAUGUACCCAUCUGUCAUUAGCCAUUUACCGUCAACUCUGUGAGCUCCUCUGAUUCCAGCCCUUCUUCUCCCCGCCCCAAGAUAAAAUGGCUGAAUUUCGUAUUGAGCAUUCUCUUGUUUUUCUUUAUGGUUUGCUUGCUUGUAUCUUUAAACAACACAGUGUUUACAUUGCAUUUCCAUGAAACCUGCUGUUUCACUCUGCUUUAUGUUCCUGAGGUUCAUCAUGAUACUGAGUGAGGCUGUAAUGCAUUCCUUUUCCCUGCUAUGUAGUAUUUUAUUGCAUUAAAACACCAAGAUGCAAUUAUCUGUUUUAUAUCCUACCGUUGGUGGACAUUUGAGCCUACCCCACUCUUUGCUAUUACAACAAAACUGUAGACUUUCGCAGACAUAUCUCCUAAUAUGCACGUACAAGUUCCUCCAGGGUAUAUGCCUAGGUGUGGACUAGUGAUUUCUAGGAUAGAAGUAUGUCAGCACUUUCUAGGUAACACAAAAUUGUUUUCAAAGUGGCUGUACCAACUUGUACUCUCUUCAGCAGUGACUAAGAAUUCCCGUUGCUCUAGAUUCUUGCUACUAUCUGGUGGCUUUAAAAUUGUUGCCAAUCUGAUAGAAAGGGAUAGCUCAUUAUGCUUCUAAUUUUCAUUUUGCCGCUUACUUGCCUUGAUCCCUGCGGGCUGGUUCCCACUUAUGAUUCAAAUUUGAGAUGAAAUAAUCACCACCUUGAAAUGCCUUGGCCACUCAACUCCGUUGCCCUAUCUUCAUUCUUACUAUCUGAUAUCUUCUUUUCUCUCUUCUUAAAAAAUGUUUGUCGGUCUCUUGUAUUCCUUCUUAUCCAGGGUGUGUGCCCUGUAGCUGCUUAAUAGAUUUCUUGAAUGUUUGUUAAGUGAAUGAAUGGGCUAGCUUCAAUUCUGUUUAGAUCAGUAUUUGCUGGCUGAUGACGCCAGCUUCCUUCUUGUUUGGCUCAAGCCUCUCUUUCACAUUGCUUUCAGUUUCUUUUCGUACAUUCUCCAUGGUCUUCCCUUCCAUUUCUGUCCACUUUUCUCUUUGUUCUCCUUGUUGCUAAAUUCUUUCUUCAUGGCAAGCUCUCCCUCUUGCUUCCACACUUGCUGCCACAAGUGCUUCCACACUCAUAGCUUUCAAAACCAACUUCUCCUAUACCCAGCUCUCUUCCACCCUGCCUGGCAUCCACUGGGGCAAUGGUCAGUCAAAAGCCAUCUGGAUUCUAGAAGACAAGGAAAGAGCAAACAAAACCGUCAUUCAUUCAAGUCAUCCACAAAGAACCCAGAGAAAGAUCUCUGUGGGUCCACGUCUUUUGUUAGAGGCAACUGCCCUCCCCCUGGAGAAACCGAAGACUUAUCCUCAGAAGUUGGAGGCUUAUUCUCUAAAGAAAUUGAACCAGUAGGAAGAACAGACAUGGUACAAAACAGGAAGCUGUGUUGCUCCAAAAAUAUCACAGGAUCGGAUGACUCGAAAACCUUCACCAAACUUGGGACCGUGACACCAUUCACAUCUAGACGGGCUGUGAAUGAG
Long non-coding RNA from Neofelis nebulosa (Clouded leopard), 1655 nucleotides. RefSeq lists it as uncharacterized. The record is from RefSeq and is a predicted model, not a curated record. Lineage: Eukaryota; Metazoa; Chordata; Mammalia; Carnivora; Felidae. The transcript is spliced from 3 exons.